GAAAGAAAACAAGAACAAGGAAGUAUAAGCAGAUGUUCAUUUCCUUGAGCUCGAGAUCCAUGGAUCCAACCACUUGUGUUAAAAGUGAUUUUAAAAUGUGCAUCUAUGCUGAACAGAAAAACAAAUCUAGUUGAGGAGGAGGCUGCAAAGGUCCCUGCAGAGGAGCUGGUUAAUGAGUGGGAUGCUGAUUGAGGAGAUGGAAGGAGUUGGAGUUGGAUGGGUAAUUACCAGAGAGAUGAAGGAAUAUUAUUGACUUGGAAGCAGGCCUGCCAUGUGAUGUUUGGGGAAGCAACUUUUAGCACUAUACCAGAAAGUUACUCCUGGCAUCUGAGUUAUCUGAGGAAGACAAACAAGUAUGACAUGCCCCCAUGAGCCCCUGCAACUGUUGACACGCUUCUAUAAACCAACAGUUUUAGAGACAUUAAGCUUGGUGUGAAACA
Acomys russatus (golden spiny mouse) is the source of this 440-nucleotide long non-coding RNA. RefSeq lists it as uncharacterized. The transcript is spliced from 3 exons. Lineage: Eukaryota; Metazoa; Chordata; Mammalia; Rodentia; Muridae. The record is from RefSeq and is a predicted model, not a curated record.